AUUUUCCAGCAUCAAAUAUCAUCCCUGCCAAUCAUCUAAUCCUUUCACACUUUCAUUCUUUCUUUGAUCAUUUUCUAAGCUCUAAAAUCAUCAUCAUGGGUGUCUUCACAUACACAGACGAGUCCACCUCAGUCAUCCCCCCACCAAGAUUGUUCAAAGCCCUUGUUCUUGAAGCUGACACCCUCAUCCCCAAGAUUGCUCCCCAAUCAGUGAAAAGUGCUGAAAUUGUUGAAGGAGAUGGAGGUGUUGGAACCAUCAAGAAGAUUAGCUUUGGUGAAGGUUGGUUUCUGCCAUUGCCUCUUCUAAGUCUAACUUGUUUGCUUAAUUAAUAACAUAAAUCUUGAAAGCAUUAAUCUCUUAAUUUCUAAUUAUAAUCUCAUUUUACAGGAAGUCAUUACAGCUAUGUGAAGCACCGGAUCGACGGGCUUGACAAAGAUAACUUUGUGUACAGCUACAGUUUGGUCGAAGGAGAUGCUCUUUCAGACAAGGUUGAGAAAAUCAGUUAUGAGAUUAAGUUGGUGGCAUCUGCUGAUGGAGGUUCCAUCAUAAAGAGCACCAGCAACUACCACACCACAGGUGAUGUUGAGAUCAAGGAAGAAGAUGUUAAGGCUGGGAAAGAGAAGGCAACUGGUCUGUUCAAGCUUAUUGAGAACUACCUUGUGGCCAACCCAGAUGCCUACAACUAAAACCUUAAAUGAAAUAUACUGCAUGUGCUUUCUCUGUCAUUAUAUUGGUGUGGCUUUCAUUUUUCCUUUUCCUUUUCUUUUUCUUGUUUGUCAAGCCAGAGCUGCUUUGGUUUGCACCUAAG
Molecule: long non-coding RNA, 808 nt
Filed under: Prunus dulcis (almond)
Lineage: Eukaryota; Viridiplantae; Streptophyta; Magnoliopsida; Rosales; Rosaceae
Description: sRNA ncRNA
Source: RNAcentral